GGGGUCGUUGCCUAGCCAGGUAUGGCGACGGGCUCCAGACCCGUAGAUCGCCGGUUCAAUUCCGGUCGGCCCCA
RNAcentral lists this transfer RNA (74 nucleotides) under Nitrososphaerota archaeon. Its description in RNAcentral is "Thaumarchaeota archaeon tRNA-Trp". It matches the Rfam family "tRNA". Rfam says of the family: Transfer RNA (tRNA) molecules are approximately 80 nucleotides in length. Their secondary structure includes four short double-helical elements and three loops (D, anti-codon, and T loops). The record is from RNAcentral. Lineage: Archaea; Thermoproteati; Nitrososphaerota.